Molecule: ribosomal RNA, 497 nt
Filed under: uncultured bacterium
Lineage: Bacteria
Description: partial 16S ribosomal RNA
Rfam family: Bacterial small subunit ribosomal RNA
Source: RNAcentral
GAUGAACGCUGGCGGCGUGCCUAAUACAUGCAAGUCGAGCGAACGGACGAGAAGCUUGCUUCUCUGAUGUUAGCGGCGGACGGAUGAGUAACACGUGGAUAACCUACCUAUAAGACUGGGAUAACUUCGGGAAACCGGAGCUAAUGCCGGAUAAUAUUUUGAACCGCAUGGUUCAAAAGUGAAAGACGGUCUUGCUGUCACUUAUAGAUGGAUCCGCGCUGCAUUAGCUAGUUGGUAAGGUAACGGCUUACCAAGGCAACGAUGCAUAGCCGACCUGAGAGGGUGAUCGGCCACACUGGAACUGAGACACGGUCCAGACUCCUACGGGAGGCAGCAGUAGGGAAUCUUCCGCAAUGGGCGAAAGCCUGACGGAGCAACGCCGCGUGAGUGAUGAAGGUCUUCGGAUCGUAAAACUCUGUUAUUAGGGAAGAACAUAUGUGUAAGUAACUGUGCACAUCUUGACGGUACCUAAUCAGAAAGCCACGGCUAACUACGUG